UACGUAGGGCGCAAGCGUUAUCCGGAAUUAUUGGGCGUAAAGAGCUCGUAGGCGGUUUGUCGCGUCUGCCGUGAAAGUCCGGGGCUCAACUCCGGAUCUGCGGUGGGUACGGGCAGACUAGAGUGAUGUAGGGGAGACUGGAAUUCCUGGUGUAGCGGUGGAAUGCGCAGAUAUCAGGAGGAACACCGGUGGCGAAGGCGGGUCUCGUGGGCUGUAACUGACGCUGAGGAGCGAAAGCGUGGGUAGCGAACAGG
RNAcentral lists this ribosomal RNA (254 nucleotides) under uncultured bacterium. RNAcentral's name for it is "partial 16S ribosomal RNA". It matches the Rfam family "Bacterial small subunit ribosomal RNA", at positions 524 to 776 of the family's 1533-position model. The record is from RNAcentral.